RNAcentral lists this unclassified non-coding RNA (353 nucleotides) under soil metagenome. Its description in RNAcentral is "partial contains 5.8S ribosomal RNA, internal transcribed spacer 2, and large subunit ribosomal RNA". The stretch from base 1 to 120 matches the Rfam family "5.8S ribosomal RNA", at positions 35 to 154 of the family's 154-position model. The record is from RNAcentral.
GAUGAAGAACGUAGCGAAAUGCGAUAAGUAAUGUGAAUUGCAGAAUUCAGUGAAUCAUCGAAUCUUUGAACGCACAUUGCGCCCGCCAGUAUUCUGGCGGGCAUGCCUGUUCGAGCGUCAUUACAACCCUCAGGCCCCCGGGCCUGGCGUUGGGGAUCGGCGGAAGCCCCCUGCGGGCACAACGCCGUCCCCCAAAUACAGUGGCGGUCCCGCCGCAGCUUCCAUUGCGUAGUAGCUAACACCUCGCAACUGGAGAGCGGCGCGGCCACGCCGUAGAACACCCAACUUCUGAAUGUUGACCUCGAAUCAGGUAGGAAUACCCGCUGAACUUAAGCAUAUCAAUAAGCGGAGGA